Molecule: ribosomal RNA, 879 nt
Filed under: uncultured bacterium
Lineage: Bacteria
Description: bacterial SSU rRNA
Rfam family: Bacterial small subunit ribosomal RNA
Source: RNAcentral
AGAGUUUGAUCAUGGCUCAGGAUGAACGCUGGCGGCGUGCCUAACACAUGCAAGUCGAGCGAUCUUCUUCGGAAGAGAGCGGCGGACGGGUGAGUAACGCGUGGGUAACCUGCCUCAUACACAUGGAUAACAUACCGAAAGGUAUGCUAAUACAAGAUGAUAUAAGAGAUUCGCAUGGAUUUCUUAUCAAAGCUCCGGCGGUAUGAGAUGGACCCGCGUCUGAUUAGCUAGUUGGUAAGGUAACGGCUUACCAAGGCGACGAUCAGUAGCCGACCUGAGAGGGUGAUCGGCCACAUUGGAACUGAGACACGGUCCAAACUCCUACGGGAGGCAGCAGUGGGGAAUAUUGCACAAUGGGCGAAAGCCUGAUGCAGCAACGCCGCGUGAGCGAUGAAGGCCUUCGGGUCGUAAAGCUCUGUCCUCAAGGAAGAUAAUGACGGUACUUGAGGAGGAAGCCCCGGCUAACUACGUGCCAGCAGCCGCGGUAAUACGUAGGGGGCUAGCGUUAUCCGGAUUUACUGGGCGUAAAGGGUGCGUAGGUGGUUUCUUAAGUCAGGAGUGAAAGGCUACGGCUCAACCGUAGUAAGCUCUUGAAACUGGGAAACUUGAGUGCAGGAGAGGAAAGUGGAAUUCCUAGUGUAGCGGUGAAAUGCGUAGAUAUUAGGAGGAACACCAGUAGCGAAGGCGGCUUUCUGGACUGUAACUGACACUGAGGCACGAAAACGUGGGGAGCAAACAGGAUUAGAUACCCUGAUAGUCCACGCCGUAAACGAUGAGUACUAGGUGUCGGGGGUUACCCCCCUCGGUGCCGCAGCUAACGCAUUAAGUACUCCGCCUGGGGAGUACGCUCGCAAGAGUGAAACUCAAAGGAAUUGACGG